AGGGAUUUAGCUCAGCGGCAUAAGCACCUGCCUUGCAAGCAGGUGGUCGUGAGUUCGAUCCCUG
Cavia porcellus (domestic guinea pig) is the source of this 64-nucleotide transfer RNA. It matches the Rfam family "tRNA". From Rfam's summary of the family: Transfer RNA (tRNA) molecules are approximately 80 nucleotides in length. NCBI's taxonomy places the organism in Eukaryota, Metazoa, Chordata, Mammalia, Rodentia, Caviidae. The record is from Rfam.